UUAACAACCUUAAAUCAAAUCUUUAUUUAAAUUAAAGAAAAUAAUACACAAUAUGAGUACCGUAAAAACAAAAUAAUUCUAAGACGGGAAACGUUUUCGCGUAGAGACUGCAACAGAGAUCGUAGUUACUCCUUCGAAGGAGGAUAGAGAGUAAGAUGAUGCGGGUGAUGAUGACGUCAAAGAUGGAAGUGAUGCUGCAGGUGAAGAUGGCAGUGAUGAGGAUGAGAUGGAAACGGAUGGCAAGUUCGGUGGAAACAAACAAUGACGAGAAUAUCAUGUCAUCUCCUGAUAAGUCAAACUAGUUUAGCGAACACUUGAGUUUGAUUACUUGGCUUAUACAAUGAUCAAUAGGAAAUUGUUCACAAUAACAAACAUUUUUUAAACGAUACUCAGGAUAUACAUCUAUCCAAUCUAUAAAUGCCGCUUUAAUAAAAAAACAUGAUAAAUUCUAUCGAAAAUCAUGAUAGAAUUCAUAUAUUAAAAAACUUUCCGUUGGUAUUUGGUUGAAUAUAAAUUCCCAAAAAGUAAAACCUUCGUACCUUUGAGAAGCUGAAAAAUAGUGAAACCUCAUACCCAUGUAAUCUGCGAAACUGCCUCUCCUCAUUUCAAUCACCUGGUAAUGACCAUCAAUACUACAAUCUUCUACAAGACUGGUAUAAGAGAAACAACUAAAUUUCUUGAUUAAAAUUAGGGAUUCAGUCAUGGUAAUCGGAACAUGUGACUAAAGCUUCUCCUCCUAACACAUAAUCAAAGACCAGAAAUGUCCUAAUGGGUGUAGUGCAUUAAAAUCCAAGAUAGCUACAGAAGUACAAGACAUGCAGAUGAACAACUUGCUUUUGUAAGUUUCAAGCACUUGCUCUGCCAGAGUCUUGUGA
This 875-nucleotide unclassified non-coding RNA is filed under the name Hevea brasiliensis (rubber tree). Lineage: Eukaryota; Viridiplantae; Streptophyta; Magnoliopsida; Malpighiales; Euphorbiaceae. The record is from RNAcentral.